GGGAGGCGGCGUGCUAAUACAUGCAAGUCGAGCGAACUGAUUAGAAGCUUGCUUCUAUGACGUUAGCGGCGGACGGGUGAGUAACACGUGGGCAACCUGCCUGUAAGACUGGGAUAACUUCGGGAAACCGAAGCUAAUACCGGAUAGGAUCUUCUCCUUCAUGGGAGAUGAUUGAAAGAUGGUUUCGGCUAUCACUUACAGAUGGGCCCGCGGUGCAUUAGCUAGUUGGUGAGGUAACGGCUCACCAAGGCAACGAUGCAUAGCCGACCUGAGAGGGUGAUCGGCCACACUGGGACUGAGACACGGCCCAGACUCCUACGGGAGGCAGCAGUAGGGAAUCUUCCGCAAUGGACGAAAGUCUGACGGAGCAACGCCGCGUGAGUGAUGAAGGCUUUCGGGUCGUAAAACUCUGUUGUUAGGGAAGAACAAGUACAAGAGUAACUGCUUGUACCUUGACGGUACCUAACCAGAAAGCCACGGCUAACUACGUGCCAGCAGCCGCGGUAAUACGUAGGUGGCAAGCGUUAUCCGGAAUUAUUGGGCGUAAAGCGCGCGCAGGCGGUUUCUUAAGUCUGAUGUGAAAGCCCACGGCUCAACCGUGGAGGGUCAUUGGAAACUGGGGAACUUGAGUGCAGAAGAGAAAAGCGGAAUUCCACGUGUAGCGGUGAAAUGCGUAGAGAUGUGGAGGAACACCAGUGGCGAAGGCGGCUUUUUGGUCUGUAACUGACGCUGAGGCGCGAAAGCUGACCACGC
This 753-nucleotide ribosomal RNA is filed under the name Priestia megaterium. RNAcentral describes it as "bacterial SSU rRNA". It matches the Rfam family "Bacterial small subunit ribosomal RNA", at positions 34 to 769 of the family's 1533-position model. Lineage: Bacteria; Bacillati; Bacillota; Bacilli; Caryophanales; Bacillaceae. The record is from RNAcentral.